CUAUCCACCAUACAAAGAAUUAUGACCCAGUUCACGAUCCCUAUGGCUUCCACUACAUGUGCCCAGUCUUUAGGCAUUGUUUCAGGCUUUUACUCUGAAAAAUGAGGGAGAAACACCACUUUCAAUGAGAGGACAGUGGAAAUUUCCAGACAUGAGUCCUUCGCGUGACCGGGAGCGUGCCUUUCCUCUUUUUCCUUUUCUAUUGACAAAGCUAUUGUCCGGUUGAAAAGUGAUCGAUUAUAUAUGACAAAAACAACCUGAGGAUUGAUUAUAAACAUUGUUUGACAUGUUUCUACGAACCUUUAUGAUUUUUCGUCUGUCUGUUGUGACCACGGUUUGUUCCAAUGGAUUACUGAACAAAAUGGAGGAUUUUGGACAUAAAAAGGGACAUUAUCGACCAAAAUAAACAUUUAUUGUCUAACAUGGAGUCUUUGGAGUGCAACCAUAUGAAGAUCAUCAAAUGUAAGGGAUAAAUUUUAUCGCUAUUUCAGACUUUUGUUACUCCUCUUCUUGGCUUCUCAGAUAAUCGCAUGGUUUGAUUUCGCCGUAAAGCCUUUUUGAAAUCUGACACAGCGGUUGGAUUAACAAGAAGUUUAUCUUUAAGCUGGUGUAUAACAUUUUUAUCUUUUAUGUAUGUUUAUUAUGAGAAUUUCCGUUUUGUUGAGUUUCACGCUCUGCAAUUUCACCGGAUGUUGUUUGAGACAGUGGAUUACUGAACAAAAUGCGCUAACAAAACGGAGGUUUUUGAAUAUAAAGAGGGACUUUAUCGAACAAAACAAACAUUUAUUGGGUAACUGGGAGUCUUGUGAGUGUAACCAUAUGAAGAUCAUCAAAGGUCGCUGAGGCACUCUUCCAGCAAGUCUUCCGGCAUUAUGGCUUUCCAGAGGACAUUGUCUCCGACCGUGGCCCCCAAUUUACAUCAAGAGUAUGGAGGGCCUUCUUGGAGAAGCUCGGGGUCAGGGUCAGCCUCACUUCCGGGUAUCAGCCUCAGUCCAACAGGCAGGUGGAGAGGAUGAGCUGGGGAGGUUCCUGGGGAGUCACUGUCAGGACCGGCAGGGCUGGUGGUUCCUGGUCCCCUAGCUGAUACUGCCCCCCACGACACACCUCCACCCCCUUGGACAUCGAGUGGAGGUCCGUUGUACGCUGUCAGAUCCCUACUGGACUCCUGACGUCGUGGGGGUCGGCUCCAGUAUCUGGUGGACUGGGAGCGGUAUGGCCCAGAGGAGCGGUGUUGGGUUCCGGUGGAGGACAUUCUGGACCCCAACAGCCGUGAUUUCCACCUUCGCCAACCGACCCACUCCUUGUUCUCGGGUUUCGGCAUCGUCCUACGGCUGUAGCCGCGCGUCAGAGGGGGGGUACUGUCACGUCUUCUCCUACUCCUCACCUCCAGCGUACGACUUCGCCGGAAUACUAACCACCAGUCCUGGGAUUCAUCAUUACACACACCUGGCACUCAUGACAACACGCACCUGUUAAUCAUUAUGAUUUACACAUGGACUUCAUUACCUUCAUCAUUUUCUCCCCUUUAUAUGUCACUCUCUUAUGUUCACUCACUAGUUGGUAUUAUUCUUGUGUACCGGCAUGUAGACAUGGAAUUGUUUUGUUUCAUUAAACAUUUCACCUGCUUCCCGACUCAUAGCUCCAUUAAAAAGAAAACGUAAGACUGGAGGAUAAUGCAUAUUGAUUGACUCAAUCUUUUUUUGACUGAGAAAUCGCUGGAAGUAAAGUAUCUCAUUUGCAUGUCAGGGUAAUUGCAAAUGCAUCCAAGUUUUAUAGCUUGAUGAGUCACAAGCUUGAUGUAGUCAUUGUGUGCUGAGAAUAUGGGACCAAAUGCUAAACUUUUGACUACUUUAUUGAUAAUCUUUAGGUGUGUCAAAUGUUUUUAAUGACCUGCAAACACACCCCGGUAACAGCUGAAUUGGGCUUUAUGGAAUACAUUGUCUUUCCAUUGCCUCUGUAAGAACGCUAACGCUUCGUGGAGAGUAAACACAUCGUCUAAACACUUGUAUCACAGAAAGGGAAGAAAUAACUUUAUUUUGAUGCGUGUUCAUUUAUUGUGGAAUUGAAAAGAAAUAUCACUUAAUACAGUUGAAAUGUUAACAAAUGCGCUGAAAUGAACAAUUUCCAAUAAUUUACACUCGGAUAUAGUGAUAUUAUAUCUGAUCUCGCAAACAAUAAAAAGUAUGUGUACUGUAUAAUCUAGAGCCAAUCCUGUUUUUUAAUCCGAGGGUAUCCUGCUAUUGACACUUGUUGAAUAAUGCAACAGAACGUGACAACAGUAGGCAGUGUAGACAGCGCAGGUGAGUUCCGGUAGGCACUGCACUGGAUUACUGCCGUUGUACUGGCUCAUGACCAAUUCUCGCUAUUUCAUGUGUGUUUUUUUGAGCUGAUCUUAACUUGUAUUGCACAUGUUUCCGCCAUUUCCUAUGAUUGAAAAUAGCUUCUGAACAUCAGAACAGUGAUCACUAGCUGUCACGUCCUGACCAGUAAAGGGGUUAUUUGUUAUUGUAGUUUGGUCAGGACGUGGCAGUGGGUGUUUGUUUUAUGUGGUUCGGGGUUUGUUGGGCUAUGUGUUUAUUUAGAGGGGUGUUUGUUUAGAGUGUUCCAGGGUUUUUGGUUAAUGUUCUAUGUUAGUAUAUUUCUAUGUUCUAGUCUUUCUAUUUCUAUGUUUAGGGUAUUUGAUUGACCUUCAAUUGGAGGCAGCUGUUCCUCGUUGCCUCUGAUUGAAGGUCCUAUAUAUAGGGAUGUUUUGCUAUGGGGGUUUGUGGGUAGUUGUCUCCAGUUUAGUGUCUGAGCACCUGAUAGGACUGUUAGUGUCGUUAGUGUCAUUCGUUCGUUUUGUAUACGUG
This 2849-nucleotide long non-coding RNA is filed under the name Salmo salar (Atlantic salmon). Its description in RNAcentral is "lncRNA (ENSSSAG00000088535.1)". The record is from RNAcentral. Lineage: Eukaryota; Metazoa; Chordata; Actinopteri; Salmoniformes; Salmonidae.